CAAGCAGUUUCCGUAGUGUAGUGGUUAUCACGUUUGCCUAACACGUGAAAGGUUCCUGGUUUUUAAACCGGGGGGAAACAUUUUACGUAUAACCAA
Molecule: non-coding RNA, 96 nt
Organism: Petromyzon marinus (sea lamprey)
Lineage: Eukaryota; Metazoa; Chordata; Hyperoartia; Petromyzontiformes; Petromyzontidae
Source: RefSeq, a predicted model, not a curated record